Molecule: ribosomal RNA, 497 nt
Filed under: uncultured bacterium
Lineage: Bacteria
Description: partial 16S ribosomal RNA
Rfam family: Bacterial small subunit ribosomal RNA
Source: RNAcentral
GAUGAACGCUGGCGGCGUGCCUAAUACAUGCAAGUCGAGCGAACGGACGAGAAGCUUGCUUCUCUGAUGUUAGCGGCGGACGGGUGAGUAACACGUGGAUAACCUACCUAUAAGACUGGGAUAACUUCGGGAAACCGUAGCUAAUACCGGAUAAUAUUUUGAACCGCAUGGUUCAAAAGUGAAAGACGGUCUUGCUGUCACUUAUAGAUGGAUCCGCGCUGCAUUAGCUAGUUGGUAAGGUAACGGCUUACCAAGGCAACGAUGCAUAGCCGACCUGAGAGGGUGAUCGGCCACACUGGAACUGAGACACGGUCGAGACUCCUACGGGAGGCAGCAGUAGGGAAUCUUCCGCAAUGGGCGAAAGCCUGACGGAGCAACGCCGCGUGAGUGAUGAAGGUCUUCGGAUCGUAAAACUCUGUUAGUAGGGAAGAACAUAUGUGUAAGUAACUGUGCACAUCUUGACGGUACCGAAUCAGAAAGCCACGGCUAACUACGUG